Molecule: ribosomal RNA, 67 nt
Filed under: Pleurotus eryngii
Lineage: Eukaryota; Fungi; Basidiomycota; Agaricomycetes; Agaricales; Pleurotaceae
Description: partial 18S ribosomal RNA
Source: RNAcentral
GCUAAUGGAGUGUUGCUGGCCUCUAGGGGUAUGUGCACGCUUCACUAGUCUUUCAACCACCUGUGAA